RNAcentral lists this ribosomal RNA (350 nucleotides) under uncultured Mamiellophyceae. RNAcentral's name for it is "SSU rRNA". It matches the Rfam family "Bacterial small subunit ribosomal RNA", at positions 524 to 871 of the family's 1533-position model. Lineage: Eukaryota; Viridiplantae; Chlorophyta; Mamiellophyceae. The record is from RNAcentral.
GACAGAGGAUGCAAGUGUUAUUCGGAUUGAUUGGGCGUAAAGCGUCUGUAGGCGGUUUGGAAAGUCUUUUGUGAAAUUCUUCAGCUCAACUGGGGGUCCGCAAAAGAAACUUCUAAGCUUGAGGGAAGUAGAGGUAUAGGGAAUUUCCGGUGGAGCGGUGAAAUGCGUAGAUAUCGGAAGGAACACCAAUAUGGCGAAGGCACUGUACUGGGCUUUACCUGACGCUAAGAGACGAAAGCUAAAGGAGUGAUUAGGAUUAGAUACCCUAGUAAUUUUAGCCGUAAACGAUGGAAACUCACUGCCGAGCCGGUAUUCGGAGCGGUGGUCAAGCUAACGCGUGAAGUUUCCCG